RNAcentral lists this transfer RNA (62 nucleotides) under Glyphocrangon regalis. RNAcentral describes it as "tRNA-Asp". The record is from RNAcentral. Lineage: Eukaryota; Metazoa; Arthropoda; Malacostraca; Decapoda; Glyphocrangonidae.
UUAAAAUUAGUUAAUUUAUAAUAUAAGCCUGUCAGUCUUAAGUAAUCUAAAGAUAUUUUAAA